GAUGAACGCUGGCGGCGUGCUUAACACAUGCAAGUCGAACGAGAAGUGGAGACGGAAACCUUCGGGCGGAAGGCUUUAUUUCGAGUGGCGGACGGGUUAGUAACGCGUGGGUACCCUGCCUCAUACAGGGGGAUAACAGUUGGAAACGACUGUUAAUACCGCAUAAGACCACAGCACCGCAUGGUGCGGGGGUAAAAACUGCGGUGGUAUGAGAUGGACCCGCGUUCGAUUAGCCAGUUGGCGGGGUAACGGCCCACCAAAGCGACGAUCGAUAGCCGAUCUGAGAGGAUGACCGGCCACAUUGGGACUGAGACACGGCCCAAACUCCUAGGGGAGGCAGCAGUGGGGAAUAUUGCACAAUGGGGGAAACCCUGAUGCAGCGACGCCGCGUGAGUGAAGAAGUAUUUCGGUAUGUAAAGCUCUAUCAGAAGGGAAGAAAAUGACGGUACCUGAGUAAGAAGCCCCGGCUAACUACGUG
This 478-nucleotide ribosomal RNA is filed under the name uncultured bacterium. RNAcentral's name for it is "partial 16S ribosomal RNA". It matches the Rfam family "Bacterial small subunit ribosomal RNA", at positions 28 to 507 of the family's 1533-position model. The record is from RNAcentral.